Molecule: long non-coding RNA, 678 nt
Organism: Chiroxiphia lanceolata (lance-tailed manakin)
Lineage: Eukaryota; Metazoa; Chordata; Aves; Passeriformes; Pipridae
Exons: 4
Source: RefSeq, a predicted model, not a curated record
CUUUGGACUUAUCAGCUACAAGCAGGGAGUUAAUGUUUGACGAAGAUCACACAAGCUGCACAAGAAAACCAUGUGCAAGGCCUUCUCUUCCUCCUUAUUUGCUUUACAAGGAACCACUGCAUCCCAGCUGAAAAUGCCUCAACAGGUGGAAGGUAUAUCUGCAAUGACACACAUAUUGUCAGCCCGUGCCCAUAUCCUCUGGGCUGGAGCCAGGAUCAGGGAUUAGCUGAACUCCCAAGCAGACCUGUCUAGUAUGGUGGAGCUUCAUGGACACUUCUGCACAUGGAUUAAAGGGCUAGAAGAGGAGACAUCAAAAAGAGCAAGAUGUAUACUCCAGCACUCCUUUCUUCGCUGACCCCACUUCAGCCAUCUCAGAGUUAUUUGCAGCAAUGCUUCAAGUAUGUUCCUCAGAUAGAUGAGCACUCCAGGCCAGAUUGAGUGAAGAUGUACAUUGUAUAAAAUCACUAAUUAUGCUUUCCUGAAAGCAGGGCUGGCACAGCCCUGCAUUUUGAGACAAAGAACUCCCAGGCAAGGGUGCCCUGUUGUUCUGCUCUUCUCAAGCUCCUUCAGCAAAUAUAUAUUAUGGAACAAGCAGUUUUGGAUUGGACAAGUAAUUAAGCAUUACAUAUACAUAUAUAGAAAAGGUAAGUUCCUUUUUAGUUAAUCAAUUCUGUGACU